This 405-nucleotide ribosomal RNA is filed under the name uncultured bacterium. RNAcentral describes it as "partial 16S ribosomal RNA". It matches the Rfam family "Bacterial small subunit ribosomal RNA", at positions 28 to 526 of the family's 1533-position model. The record is from RNAcentral.
GACGAACGCUGGCGGCGUGCUUAACACAUGCAAGUCGAACGAGUGGCGGACGGGUGCGUAAUGCUUGGGAAUCUGGCUUAUGGAGGGGGAUAACUACGGGAAACUGUAGCUAAUAACGCGUACCAUAGAAUGGGCCCAAGUGGGAUUAGGUAGUUGGUGAGGUAAAGGCUCACCAAGCGGACGAUCUCUAGCUGGUCUGAGAGGAUGACCAGCCACACUGGGACUGAGACACGGCCCAGACUCCUACGGGAGGCAGCAGUGGGGAAUAUUGCGCAAUGGGGGCAACCUGACGCAGCAAUGCCGCGUGAAUGAAGAAGGCCUUCGGGUUGUAAAGUUCUUUCGGUAGCGAGGCGUUAACUACAGAAGAAGCACCGGCUAACUCCGUGCCAGCAGCCGCGGUAAUUC